GACGAACGCUGGCGGCGUGCUUAACACAUGCAAGUCGAGCGAUGAGAUCACUUCGGUGAAGGAUUAGCGGCGAACGGGUGAGGAACACGUGAAGAAUCUGCCUUCAACUCUGGGAUAACUCCGGGAAACCGGGGCUAAUACCGGAUAUGAGCCUUGAUCGCAUGAUCGGGGCUGGAAAGUUUUUCGGUUGAAGAUGACUUCGCGGCCUAUCAGCUUGUUGGUGAGGUAAUGGCUCACCAAGGCGACGACGGGUAGCCGGCCUGAGAGGGCGACCGGCCACACUGGGACUGAGACACGGCCCAGACUCCUACGGGAGGCAGCAGUGGGGAAUAUUGGGCAAUGGAGGAAACUCUGACCCAGCGACGCCGCGUGCGGGAUGAAGGCCUUCGGGUUGUAAACCGCUUUCAGCAGGGAAUAAGCGCAAGUGAAGGUACCUGCAG
This 440-nucleotide ribosomal RNA is filed under the name uncultured Actinomycetales bacterium. Its description in RNAcentral is "bacterial SSU rRNA". It matches the Rfam family "Bacterial small subunit ribosomal RNA", at positions 28 to 484 of the family's 1533-position model. Lineage: Bacteria; Bacillati; Actinomycetota; Actinomycetes; Actinomycetales. The record is from RNAcentral.